Molecule: long non-coding RNA, 1448 nt
Organism: Papaver somniferum (opium poppy)
Lineage: Eukaryota; Viridiplantae; Streptophyta; Magnoliopsida; Ranunculales; Papaveraceae
Exons: 2
Source: RefSeq, a predicted model, not a curated record
CCAGUAUCACUAGAGAUCAUACCCAACCCAGUAGCAUUCCGCAUAUAAAAAGCUACUUGUCACAAAUUCACCCAACUAAGAACAGAACGCAAUUCAACAACAUCUUGUUCAAUAUUUUUAUACCAAGGUCUAACAAGGAAAAAUUGUUUAGCAAUGAUCAAAGCACCAUAUUCAAGAGCAGUUCUGCGAUCCUCAUCGUUAUCAAAUUCAAAAAUAAACAUAUUAUCACUAUUAAUGGUAAGGUUGAAAUUACCUUUAAGCGCUUCCAAGCCCUAGAGACAAAAUUCCUAUAUAAAUGAUAAGAAAUCUCUUACCCACAAAAAACACGACCACCAUAUCUUUACAGCGACUAAUUUCCUUCUCAAAAAAUGUUGUAGAAAACUGAGUAAUAAUUCUCUUCCCAUCUUCAAACUUAGGUGGAAAAACGUAAUCUCUGCCUCAGGAACAGGAUCCUUCUGCUUAUCAAAGAACGAAUCAUAUACAUAAGAAAGAGUAAAUUUUAAAGAUGGGAAGUGCUCAAAUCCUGGAGGAACUUCAAGAUCCAGAUCCCUAGAACCAUUAUAAUCAGAAACAGGUUUCGCCAAAUCUCCCCUAACAAGGCCCUUCGUCCUCUGGGAAGACGAAGAUAGAGGCAAGGAUGCCGAAGAGACCAAUUAAAGAACACUCAAAACCCUAGCAAUCACUAGAGAGAAAAAUAGAUUCCACGAAGAAGAUGAAGAAAUUGAAAGAAAAGAUUUGUUUAACGUUUGGUCAAAAUCUCCCUGCCAAAGUCAAUCUCUCUCCUAAGGCAAUAUUGGUGACCUUUUUUUUUUUUUUUUGUCAUUCAUAUACUUAUCAUUCAUAUUUUGAAGUCAUCUGAUUUGUUUAUCAUCAACCAAAUAGAACGUUUACAGUUUGUAGAUUUCGAUUGUAGUUUGAGUAUUUAUGAUAUUAAUCGGUAUUUGGAUAAGUUACCUUUGGAUCUUAAUCCCCUAUUCUUUUGUUUGAAUCAUCAGAACUCUUUAUUUCAAUUUUAUUUGAAUGCAGUUGAAAAUCUAUUUGAUCAUAAAUCAUAAUCAUGGGGAUUAAUUUCCAGUGGUUGAUUUUCAUCCUUGAAGGAAAAAAUCAAUCGAUCUUUAAUCCAACGGUUCUCGGACGCUAGUUCUUUUUCACAAUCAUGUGAAUGCAAGCUUGAUAGCAGGACUCAAAGAAUUUUGAGAUACAAAGUUACACAAUUAUGUUGGUGAAAGGAGAGCAAUUACCCAACCAUGCAACUGCCAAAUUGUUUCGUCUACGAUACUUGGCCAUUUUAUCGGCCAUGGAAUUAGAAAUGCUACUAAUGUAAUUGGUUCUAGAAAACUAAAAACCGUGUAAAAGAAAAGAGUAGUCAUCAAGAGUAGUGUUGCUAAAACAAUAAGUCUGGCUAGUUUUUAUUCUGCAAGUACAAGAUGAUAUUCUGAGCGUCGCUA